CCUACGGGAGGCAGCAGUGAGGAAUAUUGGUCAAUGGGCGUAAGCCUGAACCAGCCAAGUAGCGUGCAGGAUGACGGCCCUAUGGGUUGUAAACUGCUUUUAUACGGGGAUAAAGUGCGCCACGUGUGGUGUUUUGCAGGUACCGUAUGAAUAAGGACCGGCUAAUUCCGUGCCAGCAGCCGCGGUAAUACGGAAGGUCCGGGCGUUAUCCGGAUUUAUUGGGUUUAAAGGGAGCGUAGGCCGCAUGUCAAGCGUGUUGUGAAAUGCAGGUGCUCAACACCUGGAUUGCAGCGCGAACUGUCGUGCUUGAGUGUGCGCAACGUUGGCGGAAUUCGUCGUGUAGCGGUGAAAUGCUUAGAUAUGACGAGGAACCCCGAUUGCGAAGGCAGCUGACGGGAGCAUAACUGACGCUGAAGCUCGAAGGUGCGGGUAUCGAACAGGAUUAGAUACCCCGGUAGUC
RNAcentral lists this ribosomal RNA (460 nucleotides) under uncultured Prevotella sp. RNAcentral's name for it is "bacterial SSU rRNA". It matches the Rfam family "Bacterial small subunit ribosomal RNA", at positions 338 to 795 of the family's 1533-position model. Lineage: Bacteria; Pseudomonadati; Bacteroidota; Bacteroidia; Bacteroidales; Prevotellaceae. The record is from RNAcentral.